GGCUUGGGGAGGCCGGGAUUUGCCCCCGCCCCCAGAACCGGAACCGGGACCGGGACCCCCGAACGGGACCCGGACCGGGACCGGAACCGGGACCCCCGAACGGGACCGGGACCGGAACCGGGACCCCCGAACGGGGCCGGCACUGGGAACCCCGAACGGGACCGGGACCGGGACUCCUGGACGGGACCGGGACCGGGACCGGAACCGGCACCGGGACCCCCGAGCGGGACCGGAAUCGGGACUCCCAAACGGGACCGGGACUGGACCCCUGAACAGGACCGGAACCGGGACUCCUGACCGGGACCGGCACCGGAGAUCCACGGAUCGGAGUCCCCGACCAGAACCGGGAGCGGGGUUCCCCGAACGGCACCGGAGCCCCGGGACCGGAUCUUCCUCACCCGGAGCGGAACCCCUGGAUCAGAACCCCCUGACCGGGACCGGAGCCCCCGGGACUCCCUGGGCGGUACCGGAGCCCCCGGGACUGCCUGGCCGGUACCGGUACCGGAGCCCCCGGGACUGCCUGGGCGGUACCGGGAGCGGACCCGGGCCCGACCGCAGCGGGACCGGAGCCAGGCGGGCCAAGCGUCUCUUCGACGUCCUGCACGAGCCUUUCGUCAAGACGCCGCGAUGAGCCCCAAACUCCUCAAAAGUCACCCCAAAAAUCCCAAUAAAAUCCCCCCAAAAUCACCCAGAAAUAAUUAAAAAAAUCUCCCCAAAAUCUCCCAAAAAAUUCACGAAAAAAUCCCCCCAAAUGCCCACCCAAAAGCCUCAAAAAAUCUGUACAAAAAUCCCACAAAAUUCCCCAAAAAACUCUCAAAAAUCCCCAAAAAUCCCCCCCACAAUCCCCCAGAAAUAAUUUUUAAAAUCUCCCAAAAAUACCCCAAAAAUCCCCCCAAAUACCCCCCCAAAAGCCUCAAAAAUCUCUCCAAAAAAAUCCCACAAAAUUCCCCAAAAAACUCUCAAAAAUCCCAAAAACCCCAAAAUCUCCACAGAGCUCCAGAAAGUCCCCAAAAAUCCCCCCCCAGGAUCCCAAAAUCUCAAAAAAAUCCCCCAAAAUCCUCCAAAAAUCCCCACCCCAAAAAUCCCCGAAAUCCCUCAAAAAAUUCCCCCAAAAAUCCCCCAAAAGGCUCGAAAAUGCAAAAAAAAUCCCCAAAAUCCACCAAAAAAUUCCCCUGAAAUCCCCUCAAACCUUCAAAAACCCCCACAAUCCCCCCAAAAUCUCCCGAAAAUCUCCCAAACCCCCGAAAAAUCCCCCAAAAAAUCUUUCAAAAAUCGCCCAAAAUCCACCAAAACCCCCCCCAAAACCUCCCCCAAUCCCCAAAAUCCUCCCAAAAAUCUCCCCAAAAUAUCCCAAAAAUCCCCCUAAAAAACCCCGAAAAACAUCCCCAAAAUGCCCCCAAAUCUCCCAAAAAUUUCCCAAAAUCCCCUCAAAAAUCCCCCAAAUUGCCUUUUUUUUGUAAUAAAGGACAUU
This 1471-nucleotide long non-coding RNA is filed under the name Camarhynchus parvulus. Its description in RNAcentral is "lncRNA (ENSCPVG00000016096.2)". The record is from RNAcentral. Lineage: Eukaryota; Metazoa; Chordata; Aves; Passeriformes; Thraupidae.